RNAcentral lists this ribosomal RNA (247 nucleotides) under uncultured bacterium. RNAcentral describes it as "partial 16S ribosomal RNA". It matches the Rfam family "Bacterial small subunit ribosomal RNA", at positions 59 to 334 of the family's 1533-position model. The record is from RNAcentral.
AAGUCGAACGAGAUCUUCGGAUCUAGUGGCGCACGGGUGCGUAACGCGUGGGAAUCUACCCUUGGGUUCGGAAUAACGUCGGGAAACUGACGCUAAUACCGGAUGAUGACGUAAGUCCAAAGAUUUAUCGCCCAAGGAUGAGCCCGCGUAGGAUUAGCUAGUUGGUGGGGUAAAGGCCCACCAAGGCGACGAUCCUUAGCUGGUCUGAGAGGAUGAUCAGCCACACUGGGACUGAGACACGGCCCAG